RNAcentral lists this non-coding RNA (47 nucleotides) under Schistosoma mansoni. The record is from RNAcentral. Lineage: Eukaryota; Metazoa; Platyhelminthes; Trematoda; Strigeidida; Schistosomatidae.
AUCUUGCUGACGAGUGCCAAGUAGCACGAAACCCGGGUCCACGGUAU